GGAUAAGGAAAGUAAAUAAGGGCGCAUGGCGGAUGCCUUGGCUCUCGGAGGCGAUGAAGGACGUGAUAAGCUGCGAUAAGCUUUGGGGAGGUGCAAAUGACCUUUGAUCCAGAGAUUUCCGAAUGGGACAACCCAAUAUCUUGAAGAGGUAUUAUCCAACGUUGUUGGAGGCUAACGCAGGGAACUGAAACAUCUUAGUACCUGCAGGAAAAGAAAAUAAACAAUGAUUCCCCCAGUAGUGGCGAGCGAACGGGGAACAGCCCAAACCAUCCAUGUUACGGCAUGGGUGGGGUUGUAGGACUACGCCGUUGCAUGAAGACAUCAGAGAAGAACUUUCUGGAAAGAAAGACCAUAGAGCAUGACAGUUGCGUAUUCGAAUGUUGUCGAAGCAUAGUAGUAUCCUGAGUAGCGCGGAGCACGAGGAAUUCUGCGUGAAUCUGCCGGGACCAUCCGGUAAGGCUAAAUACUCCCGAGAGACCGAUAGCGAACCAGUACCGUGAGGGAAAGGUGAAAAGCACUUCGAACAGAAGAGUGAAAUAGUUCCUGAAACCGUGCGCCUACAAGCGGUCGGAGCUCGUUAAUGAGUGACGGCGUGCCUUUUGCAUAAUGAACCUACGAGUUGCCUUUGCCGGCAAGGUUAAGUGUGACGACACACGUAUCCGAAGCGAAAGCGAGUCUGAACAGGGCGUAUAGUCGGCAGUGGCAGACGCGAAACCAAGUGAUCUACCCUUGGCCAGGUUGAAGGCUGGGUAACACCAGCUGGAGGACCGCACCAAUAAGCGUUGAAAAGCUUCUGGAUGAGCUGAGGGUAGGGGUGAAAGGCUAAUCAAACUUGGAGAUAGCUCGUACUCCCCGAAAUGCAUUUAGGUGCAGCCUUGCGGGUUACUGAUGUGAGGUAGAGCGACUGAUAAGAUGCGAGGGCUUCACCGCCUAUCAAGUCUUGACAAACUCCGAAUGCGCAUCAGUUCUACCGCAGGAGUGAGGGCAUGGGUGCUAAGGUCCGUGCCCGAGAGGAGAAGAAUCCGGACCACCUGCUAAGGUCCCGAAAUGACAGCUAAGUUAAACUAACGAAGUCUGACUGCUAAGACAGCUAGGAUGUUGGCUUGGAAGCAGCCAUUCAUUUAAAGAGUGCGUAACAGCUCACUAGUCGAGGAGUCGGGCGUGGAUAAUAAUCGGGUAUCAAGUUGUCUACCGAAGCAGUGGGAUCAUUAAUAUGAUCGGUAGGGGAGCAUUCCAGUCAGCGUCGAAGGCGUACCGUGAGGUAUUCUGGAGCGUCUGGAAAAGCAAAUGUAGGUAUAAGUAACGAUAAAGGGGGCGGGAAACCCCCUCGCCGAAAGACUAAGGUUUCCUGAUCAACGCUAAUCGGAUCAGGGUCAGUCGGGUCCUAAGGCUCAGCCGAACGGCGAUGCCGAUGGCAGAAACGGUUAAUAUUCCGUUACUACCUUCAGGAGUGACGUGGAGACGCAGUAGUGACAGUGCCGCCAUCUGACGGAAUAGAUGGUUGAAGGGUGUAGGAGUCGAUCAUGGCAGGCAAAUCCACCAUGAGAUCCGAACCUGACAGUAUGCCGCGUCCUUCGGGACAAGGCAAUAGUGCGCGUAAGCAUGCUGCCGAGAAAAUCCGCUAAACUUAAUCCUGCAGGUACCCGUACCGCAAACGGACACACGUAGUCGGGAUGAAUAUUCUAAGGCGCUUGAGUGAUUCACGGUUAAGGAACUAGGCAAACUGACCCUGUAACUUCGGGAUAAAGGGUCCCUACCCUUUUAUGGGAGGGCGCAGAGAAUCGGUCCAGGCAACUGUUUAACAAAAACACAGGGCUGUGCCAAAUCGAAAGAUCCAGUAUACAGCCUGACACCUGCCCGGUGCUGGAAGGUUAAGAGGAGAUGUCAUCGAUAAGAGAAGCGUUGAAUUGAAGCCCCAGUAAACGGCGGCCGUAACUAUAACGGUCCUAAGGUAGCGAAAUUCCUUGUCGGGUAAGUUCCGACCUGCACGAAUGGUGUAAUGAUCUGGACGCUGUCUCAACCGUGAGCUCAGUGAAAUUGUAGUAUCGGUGAAGAUGCCGAUUACCCGCGAUGGGACGAAAAGACCCCGUGAACCUUUACUAUAGCUUAUCAUUGAAUCUGGGCACGUGAUGUGUAGGAUAGGUCGGAGGCUUUGAAGCAGGUACGCCAGUAUUUGUGGAGCCGCUGUUGAAAUACGACCCUUUAUUUGUUUGGAUUCUAACCCGUGGAUACGGGGACAUUGAUUGGUGGGUAGUUUGACUGGGGUGGUCGCCUCCAAAAGCGUAACGGAGGCUUCUAAAGGUGCCCUCCGGCCGAUUGGUAACCGGCCUUAGAGUGUAAUGGCAUAAGGGCGCUUGACUGGGAGACUAACAAGUCGAUCAGGUAGGAAACUAGAGCAUAGUGAUCCGGUGUUUCCGUAUGGAAGGGACAUCGCUCAAAGGAUAAAAGGUACUCCGGGGAUAACAGGCUGAUCCCUCCCAAGAGCUCAUAUCGACGGAGUGGUUUGGCACCUCGAUGUCGGCUCGUCACAUCCUGGGGCUGGAGAAGGUCCCAAGGGUUGGGCUGUUCGCCCAUUAAAGUGGCACGCGAGCUGGGUUCAGAACGUCGUGAGACAGUUCGGUCUCUAUCUAUCGUGGGCGUAUGAAAUUUGCGUGGCUCUGACACUAGUACGAGAGGACCGUGUUGGACAGACCUCUGGUUUGCCGGUUGUGCCGCCAGGUGCAUUGCCGGGUAUCUAAGUCUGGAUCGGAUAAGUGCUGAAAGCAUCUAAGUACGAAGCCGGCCACAAGAUUAGAUUUCUCAGGGUCGUUGUAGACUACGACGUUGAUAGGAUGCAGGUGUAAAG
RNAcentral lists this ribosomal RNA (2845 nucleotides) under Phocaeicola vulgatus. Its description in RNAcentral is "Bacteroides vulgatus partial 23S ribosomal RNA". It matches the Rfam family "Bacterial large subunit ribosomal RNA". Lineage: Bacteria; Pseudomonadati; Bacteroidota; Bacteroidia; Bacteroidales; Bacteroidaceae. The record is from RNAcentral.